Molecule: non-coding RNA, 179 nt
Organism: Danio rerio (zebrafish)
Lineage: Eukaryota; Metazoa; Chordata; Actinopteri; Cypriniformes; Danionidae
Source: Ensembl
UUUAAGGUUUGCAGGGCAUUUUUUCGUCAAAUCCUCGUACAACGUCAAGAUAAAACAAGGCGUACGCGUUGGUCAAUCGAGCGGACAAAGCCAACUCAGCGUGACAAGCUCCCUGCAGGUAUUAGGGCCAAUUUACAAUCCGGGCCCCACACCGCUGUACAGGUCCUUGCGAAAUGUCC